This 1256-nucleotide long non-coding RNA is filed under the name Vulpes vulpes (red fox). RNAcentral's name for it is "lncRNA (ENSVVUG00000010070.1)". The record is from RNAcentral. Lineage: Eukaryota; Metazoa; Chordata; Mammalia; Carnivora; Canidae.
GUUUGUGUGUCUUUUGUUAGGUAAAUUUUUUAACCUAUAGAAUAGAAUAAGAUUAAACUUGUAGCUCUGAAGUACAAUCAUAAAAGAACAAAACUGGCAUAGGAAGUCAAAGAAUUAAAGAUCUAGUGCCUAUUUAAUGUUGCAAGAUUUUGAUAAAUAGGAGAAUAUGGAAAUAAGAAGGGUCUAAAAAAUUAUCCACAGGCUGAAAUCUAGACCCUGAAAUGUUUUAUUUUAUUUAAAUUAAUUAUUAACUUGCUCAACUCCAGUUUCAAAGCUAUUAUAGAAAAAGAAGAAUGAAAGGGACAAUAGUACCCUUAUUGUCUGUGACCCAGUUGUUACCUAUUUUAUGUCAAUGCAAUGAUGUUGGUUUAAGAAAUCUGGCUUUCCUCAGCAGCUAGGAGAAAAAUAAAGGAGGGGGCGAAAAGAUUCUAGGGAAGAAAGACACAUAGCAGAUGCUACAGGGAAGAGAAAAAAAGUAAUAGUAAUUAGGCAUACCAGUAAGAGCCAAUAUGUAGCAAGAAUAGCAAAACUUUUCAAGGAAAAUACAAAAAGAAAUCUAGAAUUAAGAAGUUUCAAAAGUUCUUCAGUCUGUGCUGGAUGUUCAAAAUCCUUUUCAUCUUCAUUAUCCUUCAUUAUCUUCUAUCGAUCUACAGAUCACCCUUGCAGAUCAAAGUAUAAUUUGAUGUAGAGAUACAUAUGCCAUGUUCUUCUUUGAAACAUAUGAGUUUGUCUGGUGAACUGGGAGGGUGGGCCUCCUAGAAGAUAAUUUGCACUGGGAGACUGAGAAGCCUCCUGGAGACUCCAUUCAACAACAAAGACACAGUUGCUGGGGAGGAAGAAAAGAGGGUAGCAGCGUGUUUUUAGUAUCAUACCAUCACCCAGAUUUUUCCUAUUGGCCAAAGUCUCACACACUGACUCCUAAGAAAAGAUUCUGGAAAUUCCACCAUUAUUAGUAUGAAAGGUGAAAGUGAAAUGCCCAACUUUCAAUAACCAGUCCUGGGGGACUCCCGCGAGCAAAACGGUGGAGAGAAGAGAAGCAGCAGAGACGUGUCCCCUGUCCCCAGCACGGCACCGGACACUGUCUGGAAGGCUGGAGCGUCAGCAAGGCUGAUUCGAACCCAAGACCUCCGGUGCCAUCCUCGGCCGGGCCCUGGGAGGGGGCGCGCACCCGGCUGCGCAGAGCGCUCCCCGCGGGGCCUGCGGCGCCGGGCUCGGGCCUCGCGCCUCCCUCAGCUCCCUCCCCGCCCCCCUCCGCC